Molecule: ribosomal RNA, 200 nt
Filed under: uncultured bacterium
Lineage: Bacteria
Description: partial 16S ribosomal RNA
Rfam family: Bacterial small subunit ribosomal RNA
Source: RNAcentral
AGAGUUUGAUCCUGGCUCAGAACGAACGCUGGCGGCAGGCCUAACACAUGCAAGUCGAGCGAUCGCAGCAAUGCGGGAGCGGCAGACGGGUGAGUAACGCGUGGGAACAUGCCCUUUGGUUCGGAAUAGCUCAGGGAAACUUGAAUUAAUACCGGAUACGCCCUUUUUGGGGAAAGAUUCAUCGCCGAAGGAUUGGCCCG